This is a long non-coding RNA of Juglans regia (Persian walnut), 560 nucleotides long. RefSeq lists it as uncharacterized. The record is from RefSeq and is a predicted model, not a curated record. The transcript is spliced from 3 exons. Lineage: Eukaryota; Viridiplantae; Streptophyta; Magnoliopsida; Fagales; Juglandaceae.
CUCAUUCGAAUUUCCCCCCUCCCCCAUCCCCGCACGUUUCCCAACCCCCCUCCCUCAGCGUUCGCGUUCUCCUUCCGGGCUUCAUCCCUCCGCCCGCAUUCUUCAUGCUGCCAUUCUCACUGCCCGUCUGGGGCCGCAGACAAGGUUGAAAUAAUGUGAUGGGCAAUGAAGAAGAUGGAAAGCCACCCAGGCCUUCUACCUCAAUUUCACCAACUCAGCCAUGCAUGGAGAAAAGAAUUAUUUAGCAAUAAGAAUAAAGGCAAUGAUGGGUCUCGACAGUUUACAUCCAAAUUUGACGAAAGAUCCAACCAGAGAUUGCCCAUGGAAGAGAACAGUUCCAAUAGUCUAGACUCUCCAAAAAGUUUUGGGGACUUACAAUUUGUGUAUAUAAAUGGGUAAUUGUGUAUUUGUAAAUGGGUAAUUUCAGCCUACUAAUUGUGUAUGUGUUUUUAGGUAGUUUUUAACUAAUUGUGUAUUUGUAAAUGGGUAGCUUCUAGCAAUGUACUUUGAUUUGGUACAUGUACUGAUUUUGAUCAUCAUAUUAUGAGAGAGUAAGCAUG